This 769-nucleotide long non-coding RNA is filed under the name Rattus norvegicus (Norway rat). RNAcentral describes it as "long non-coding RNA NONRATT003872". The record is from RNAcentral. Lineage: Eukaryota; Metazoa; Chordata; Mammalia; Rodentia; Muridae.
GUGAUUUCCCUUCCAGCCUUAGGAGAGUCUCAGAGAGCAUUGACACAGGGUACCUACACUUCAUGGUGUUCCCUUACAACACCCCCCCCCGGGGGGGGUGUCGGCCGGACCCCUUUCUCUAAUUGUCUCCGUGGCCUGUAUGGAGGAACAUCUAGUUUGUUCAGGCCUAUCUCGUCACGUGACUCACCCCCUUCCACUGGCGGCUGCUGCAUCGCUGUCCUCCGGCAGCUAUUGUGAAAGUUUUUGAGUGCCCUGCUAACGGUUAUAAAAAGCUCUUGCUUCAAGGGUCGGCCGUCAAGGGGAUCCUACUUUCUGUGCUUCACCUCCCGUGGUUUGUGCACUUGCCUAACUUUGAGUGGCCGGAUCCCUUGUUCCUCACAAUGGCUUUGGUACUAAGACCUGGCGUGGGAAUCAAGGUGAAAUAGUAUUUGCUAAGUCCUUCAUUACGCUUCAUCGAGUCUUUACUAAAGGGCACGGAAGAAGUAGUGAAGACCUCUGGGCUAAGGACCCCUUUACUCCCUUAGCUUCUCAGGGCUCCUUCCCACAUUGCUUCCCAGGAAUUCUCCAUCCACGUGGCCUGCUCUCAUGGCUUGGAUGAGGUCAUCUUCUCCUAUGUGCUUGGGGUCCUGGAGGACCUGGGCCCCUCAGGGCCAUCAGAGGAGAACUUUGAUAUGGAGGCUUUCAUUGAGAUGAUGGAGGCUUAUGUGCCUGGCUUUGCCCACAUCCACAGGGGUAUAAUAGAAGACAUGGUGCAGACGCUCUCGGUGCA